UUCAGGAGGAUGGAAACUGGCUCAGGAUGAACGCUGGCGGUCUGCUUAACACAUGCAAGUCGAACGGAAUCCUUCGGGAUUUAGUGGCGGACGGGUGAGUAACACGUGAGAAUCUGCACUCAGGAUGGGGACAACAGCGGGAAACUGCUGCUAAUACCCAAUGUGCCGAAAGGUAAAAGAUUUAUCGCCUGAGAAUGAGCUCGCGGCCGAUUAGUUAGUUGGUGGGGUAAUGGCCUACCAAGACGGCGAUCGGUAGCUGGUCUGAGAGGAUGAGCAGCCACACUGGGACUGAGACACGGCCCAGACUCCUACGGGAGGCAGCAGUGGGGAAUUUUCCGCAAUGGGCGCAAGCCUGACGGAGCAAGACCGCGUGGGGGAGGAAGGCUCUUGGGUUGUAAACCCCUUUUCUCAGGGAAGAAGUUCUGACGGUACCUGAGGAAUCAGCCUCGGCUAACUCCGUGCCAGCAGCCGCGGUAAUACGGAGGAGGCAAGCGUUAUCCGGAAUUAUUGGGCGUAAAGCGUCCGUAGGUGGUGGGGCAAGUCGGCGGUUAAAGACUGGGGCUUAACUCCAGAAAGGCCGUGGAAACUGCACCACUAGAGGGCAGUAGGGGUAGAGGGAAUUCCCGGUGUAGCGGUGAAAUGCGUAGAGAUCGGGAAGAACACCAGUGGCGAAAGCGCUCUACUGGACUGCAACUGACACUCAGGGACGAAAGCUAGGGGAGCGAAUGGGAUUAGAUACCCCAGUAGUCCUAGCCGUAAACGAUGAAGUACGGUAGAC
Molecule: ribosomal RNA, 778 nt
Filed under: Planktothricoides raciborskii
Lineage: Bacteria; Bacillati; Cyanobacteriota; Cyanophyceae; Oscillatoriales; Oscillatoriaceae
Description: bacterial SSU rRNA
Rfam family: Bacterial small subunit ribosomal RNA
Source: RNAcentral